GUGAAGAUGCAGUGUACCCGCGGCUAGACGGAAAGACCCCGUGCACCUUUACUACAGCUUUGCACUGGACUUUGAAUCUAUUUGUGUAGGAUAGCUGGGAGGCUUUGAAGCGUGAACGCUAGUUUGCGUGGAGCCAACCUUGAAAUACCAGCCUGAUGUCUUUGAGGUUCUAACCCAGGCCCGUUAUCCGGGUCGGGGACAGUGUGUGGUGGGUAGUUUGACUGGGGCGGUCGCCUCCUAAAGAGUAACGGAGGCGCGCGAAGGUGGGCUCAGAGCGGUCGGAAAUCGCUCGUUGAGUGCAAUGGCAUAAGCCUGCCUGACUGUGAGACUGACAGGUCGAACAGAGUCGAAAGACGGCCAUAGUGAUCCGGUGGUCCCGAGUGGAAGGGCCAUCGCUCAACGGAUAAAAGGUACUCCGGGG
This 421-nucleotide ribosomal RNA is filed under the name Isochrysis galbana. RNAcentral describes it as "partial Bacterial large subunit ribosomal RNA". It matches the Rfam family "Bacterial large subunit ribosomal RNA", at positions 2053 to 2473 of the family's 2925-position model. The record is from RNAcentral. Lineage: Eukaryota; Haptophyta; Isochrysidales; Isochrysidaceae.